UACAGAGGGUGCGAGCGUUAAUCGGAAUUACUGGGCGUAAAGCGUGCGCAGGCGGUUUUGUAAGCCAGAUGUGAAAGCCCCGGGCUUAACCUGGGAAUGGCAUUUGGGACUGCAAGGCUUGAGUGCGGCAGAGGAGACUGGAAUUCCUGGUGUAGCAGUGAAAUGCGUAGAUAUCAGGAGGAAUACCGAUGGCGAAGGCGGAUCUCUGGGCCAUUACUGACGCUGAGGAGCGAAAGCGUGGGGAGCGAACAGG
This 253-nucleotide ribosomal RNA is filed under the name uncultured bacterium. RNAcentral describes it as "partial 16S ribosomal RNA". It matches the Rfam family "Bacterial small subunit ribosomal RNA", at positions 524 to 776 of the family's 1533-position model. The record is from RNAcentral.